CAGCAGCCGCGGUAAUACGGAGGGAGCUAGCGUUGUUCGGAAUUACUGGGCGUAAAGCGCGCGUAGGCGGUUACUCAAGUCAGAGGUGAAAGCCCGGGGCUCAACCCCGGAACUGCCUUUGAAACUAGGUAACUAGAAUCUUGGAGAGGUCAGUGGAAUUCCGAGUGUAGAGGUGAAAUUCGUAGAUAUUCGGAAGAACACCAGUGGCGAAGGCGACUGACUGGACAAGUAUUGACGCUGAGGUGCGAAAGCGUGGGGAGCAAACAGGAUUAGAUACCCCCGUAGUCCCUGUCUCUUAUAC
RNAcentral lists this ribosomal RNA (301 nucleotides) under uncultured bacterium. RNAcentral describes it as "partial 16S ribosomal RNA". It matches the Rfam family "Bacterial small subunit ribosomal RNA", at positions 509 to 807 of the family's 1533-position model. The record is from RNAcentral.